Molecule: ribosomal RNA, 928 nt
Filed under: Hebeloma victoriense
Lineage: Eukaryota; Fungi; Basidiomycota; Agaricomycetes; Agaricales; Hymenogastraceae
Description: eukaryotic LSU rRNA
Rfam family: Eukaryotic large subunit ribosomal RNA
Source: RNAcentral
CAAUAAGCGGAGGAAAAGAAACUAACAAGGAUUCCCCUAGUAACUGCGAGUGAAGCGGGAAAAGCUCAAAUUUAAAAUCUGGCGGUCUCCGGCUGUCCGAGUUGUAAUCUAGAGAAGUGUUAUCCGCGCUGGACCGUGUACAAGUCUCCUGGAAUGGAGCAUCAUAGAGGGUGAGAAUCCCGUCUUUGACACGGACUGCCAGGGCUUUGUGAUGCGCUCUCAAAGAGUCGAGUUGUUUGGGAAUGCAGCUCAAAAUGGGUGGUAAAUUCCAUCUAAAGCUAAAUAUUGGCGAGAGACCGAUAGCGAACAAGUACCGUGAGGGAAAGAUGAAAAGAACUUUGGAAAGAGAGUUAAACAGUACGUGAAAUUGCUGAAAGGGAAACGCUUGAAGUCAGUCGCGUUGGCCGGGGAUCAACCUUGCUUUUGCUGGGCGUACUUUCCGGUUGAUGGGUCAGCAUCAAUUUUGACCGUUGGAUAAAGUCCAGGGGAAUGUGGCAUCUUCGGAUGUGUUAUAGCCCUUGGUCGCAUACAACGGUUGGGAUUGAGGAACUCAGCACGCCGCAAGGCCGGGUACUUGUACCACGUUCGUGCUUAGGAUGCUGGCAUAAUGGCUUUAAUCGACCCGUCUUGAAACACGGACCAAGGAGUCUAACAUGCCUGCGAGUGUUUGGGUGGAAAACUCGGACGCGUAAUGAAAGUGAAAGUUGAGAUCCCUGUCGUGGGGAGCAUCGACGCCCGGACCAGACCUUUUGUGACGGAUCCGCGGUAGAGCAUGUAUGUUGGGACCCGAAAGAUGGUGAACUAUGCCUGAAUAGGGUGAAGCCAGAGGAAACUCUGGUGGAGGCUCGUAGCGAUUCUGACGUGCAAAUCGAUCGUCAAAUUUGGGUAUAGGGGCGAAAGACUAAUCGAACCAUCUAGUAGCUGGUCU